AAAUUGAAGAGUUUGAUCAUGGCUCAGAUUGAACGCUGGCGGCAGGCCUAACACAUGCAAGUCGAGCGGUAACACAGAGAGCUUGCUCUCGGGUGACGAGCGGCGGACGGGUGAGUAAUGUCUGGGAAACUGCCUGAUGGAGGGGGAUAACUACUGGAAACGGUAGCUAAUACCGCAUAACGUCGCAAGACCAAAGUGGGGGACCUUCGGGCCUCAUGCCAUCAGAUGUGCCCAGAUGGGAUUAGCUAGUAGGUGGGGUAACGGCUCACCUAGGCGACGAUCCCUAGCUGGUCUGAGAGGAUGACCAGCCACACUGGAACUGAGACACGGUCCAGACUCCUACGGGAGGCAGCAGUGGGGAAUAUUGCACAAUGGGCGCAAGCCUGAUGCAGCCAUGCCGCGUGUGUGAAGAAGGCCUUCGGGUUGUAAAGCACUUUCAGCGGGGAGGAAGGCGGUGAGGUUAAUAACCUCAUCGAUUGACGUUACCCGCAGAAGAAGCACCGGCUAACUCCGUGCCAGCAGCCGCGGUAAUACGGAGGGUGCAAGCGUU
RNAcentral lists this ribosomal RNA (550 nucleotides) under Klebsiella pneumoniae. Its description in RNAcentral is "bacterial SSU rRNA". It matches the Rfam family "Bacterial small subunit ribosomal RNA", at positions 1 to 542 of the family's 1533-position model. Lineage: Bacteria; Pseudomonadati; Pseudomonadota; Gammaproteobacteria; Enterobacterales; Enterobacteriaceae. The record is from RNAcentral.